Talpa occidentalis (Iberian mole) is the source of this 503-nucleotide long non-coding RNA. RefSeq lists it as uncharacterized. NCBI's taxonomy places the organism in Eukaryota, Metazoa, Chordata, Mammalia, Eulipotyphla, Talpidae. The record is from RefSeq and is a predicted model, not a curated record. The transcript has 3 exons.
UGUCCAGUCACAGUUCUGGAAAAUUCCCUGUGGUCCAGACUUGGAGAUUCCUUUUGACGUCAUAGCCUGACUCCUCCCUGGUCUCACGUGAUGCUUCUUCCACAGGAGGACAAGGAGGAAGCUACUCUCAGGCUGCAGGCGGCGACAGCGCCCAGAGUUCUGAUGUGUCUCUCAGCCCCUAAAGUGUGAGCCAGCUGCCUGGUGGGGGCUGAGUGAUGAAGGAUUUCUUCUCACCCGUACUUUGUGACUCUAAGAUCUUCUGGUUUCGUUUGCUGCAAAAGGCAUCUGAAUGUGUCUCUGUUCUUAUGAGAUAAUGUGAGAAGGUGGGGAGACUGGCCCAGCCCUGCCCACCAGGGCCCUCCCCACACUGACCUGUGUCUCUCCGUGAAGUAGCUUAGUCUGUGUCUACCCCGUCUUUGUGUUUUGCUCAAGAAUAGUAACUACUUCCUUCUGGAAAUAAUAAUUGAGUUCUGAAAUUAGUUUUUGGAAGCUUGCCUGAUCGA